This 452-nucleotide ribosomal RNA is filed under the name uncultured bacterium. RNAcentral's name for it is "bacterial SSU rRNA". It matches the Rfam family "Bacterial small subunit ribosomal RNA", at positions 917 to 1382 of the family's 1533-position model. The record is from RNAcentral.
GGGCCCGCACAAGCGGCGGAGCGUGCGGUUUAAUUCGACGCAACGCGUAGAACCUUACCAGGGCUUGACAUGCACCUGCAGAGCCGUGAAAGCGGUUGGCCUUCGAGGGUGGUGCACAGGUGCUGCAUGGCUGUCGUCAGCUCGUGUCGUGAGAUGUUGGGUUAAGUCCCGCAACGAGCGCAACCCUCGUGGUUAGUUGUCGAUGUUUCUAGCCAGACUGCCGGUAGCAAGCCGGAGGAAGGUGGGGAUGACGUCAAGUCAGCAUGGCCCUUACGUCCUGGGCUACACGCACGCUACAAUGGCCGGGACAAUGGGCUGCCAAACCGCAAGGUGGAGCGAAUCCCACAAACCCGGUCUCAGUUCAGAUCGCGGGCUGCAACUCGCCCGCGUGAAGGUGGAGUCGCUAGUAACCGCAGGUCAGCACUACUGCGGUGAAUACGUUCCCGGGCCUU